UACCUCUCAACCCCGCUUUCUUUAUUGGGAGCUGUUUAGGGUUUGGAUCGUGCUGCGUGUGGUUAAGUCCACUGCGGUGAAAUACAACAAGCUGGAUCCCUGAUCUUGCGGCUUGACCCGUUGUUAUAAACUUGAAAAUCAAUGGGAACGCAAAUCGAGGAAUGGGCUUACCAUAAAUCAUUUUACAAGUGCA
RNAcentral lists this unclassified non-coding RNA (193 nucleotides) under uncultured Sporobolomyces. RNAcentral describes it as "sequence contains ITS2". The record is from RNAcentral. Lineage: Eukaryota; Fungi; Basidiomycota.